GGACCAUCAUGUCGGUCGUGCCUCGGUACGUACUGGUAUUGUUGGUUUCUCCCUUCUGACGAACCAUGAUGUCAUUUAUUUGGUGUUGUGGGGAAUCAGGACUGUUACUUUGAAAAAAUUAGAGUGUUUAAAGCAGGCUCACGCUUGAAUACAUUAGCAUGGAAUAAUGAAAUAGGACGUUUGAUUCCUAUUUUGUUGGUUUCUAAGAACGACGUA
RNAcentral lists this ribosomal RNA (216 nucleotides) under uncultured Glomus. Its description in RNAcentral is "partial 18S rRNA". The stretch from base 37 to 216 matches the Rfam family "Eukaryotic small subunit ribosomal RNA", at positions 684 to 864 of the family's 1831-position model. The record is from RNAcentral. Lineage: Eukaryota; Fungi; Glomeromycota; Glomeromycetes; Glomerales; Glomeraceae.